Long non-coding RNA from Juglans regia (Persian walnut), 1591 nucleotides. RefSeq lists it as uncharacterized. The record is from RefSeq and is a predicted model, not a curated record. NCBI's taxonomy places the organism in Eukaryota, Viridiplantae, Streptophyta, Magnoliopsida, Fagales, Juglandaceae. The transcript has 9 exons.
CCAACCUCUCUCUUUCCCUCGUAUUUUUCUUUCUUCAGAAACUUCCUCUCUUCCCUCUGUUUUCUUUUCUUCAGAAACUCCCCCUGUUCCUUCUGUUUUCCUUUCUUCAGAAACUCUUCUCUCCCUCUUCUCUCCGUUCCUGGGUCGAUCUUCACUGUUGUGCGAUUUCAUCUCUCUCUCUUGGCUUGGCUCAAGAACACAACACUCUCUCUCGGUUUGGGUUUUGAGUAUGAAAUAGAAUAAAUAAAAAUAAAAAGAAUGCAGGCAAGGCAUUGGAAAGGCAGACCUAUGUCUCUGUGAUAGUGAGCAUGGAGAUGAGGUGGUGACAGUGAGCAUGGGGAUGAGCUGGGUCAUCCUUGGUCAUUCUGAAAGAUGAGCUCAUCUAAACGAGUCAAAUGAGUUGGUGGAAUCUGUGCUAAGUAAAGUUGUGGAGGAGUUUGAGCAUCGUAUUGCAAGCCAAUUGGAGCUGGCAGAUCUCAGUGAAGUGGUUUCUGAAAAUGGUGGAGUUGAAAGUGGAGUUCAGACUGAUAAAAAAAAGAAGUUGAUAAAAGAAUAGCCAUUAAUAUCUCGAAGCAUCACAUGCUCCUAUUACAGAUUGGUUGUAAAUCAGAUGAUAUAUUGGCUGUAAACCAGAUGAUAUAUGUAAUUUUGGUGAUUUUUUUUUCUAGCUCCUUGCAAGUCAGAUUAGCUGUAAACCAGAUGAUAUUUGUGAUUUUGAAGUGUAUUUGUUGAAUAAUUAUAUAUGAAGUGUAUUUGCAAAAAACAAAAAAAAAAUGCCAAAAGAACGAUCAAAUACCUCCAUCAUCCGGAUUCCUUUCUAAAGCGCUGUAGUACUCUUCGAUCGCCAUGAGCUUUCUAUUCGGCAAGAGAAAAACUCCCGCAGAACUUCUGCGGGAAAAUAAGAGGAUGCUGGAUAAAUCUAUAGAGAAAUAGCGACAUGCAUACAAUGCUAAUUACAUAGCCUCGUUGAAUCAUAAGGAAACAAGAGUACUUCCUCAUGAGUACUUACAGUUGCCUCUGAGAGGGCCUUUCUCGAGACCUUAAAUGGAUCUUGCCGCACUCCCAUUGCCGGAUAUGCUUACAAGGAUGAGGAUGGCAAUUGCAUAUUUAAAGGGUUUGGUAGCUUCCCCAGAUGGAACCCGUGUACUGGAAACAUCUAGAAAAGGCCUAUAUGCUCAUGAAGAUAUGGUUAUGAUAGGAAAAGAUGCUGUCAAGGAGCUUCUUUUGCUGGCUGGUCCUAGGUUUUUAGGAAGAAAAAACUUGAAGCAGUAUGAACUAGCUAGCUAGCUAGCAAUAUCAAAAUGGUGCAGAUGGCAAUUUCUGAUUGGCCAAGAAGUGUGUAACCAGUUGGAGAGACUGUUUGGGUGCAAAAACUGGAACUUGAUGACCCGCACCUCUGAUGGUUACAAACAUAAUCCCAUCAUACACAACUGUCCAACCGCCAACCUAUUCAAUCCAACAUACAUACAAAAUAUUCCAGUCAAACGGAGUCCAAUCUUCAAGAACACGCAAUCCAAGCUUUCUCAAUGCGUAUCUAGUCGAGGUUACCGGUACUCUUCCAUCUGUAUCUCCACUGCCAAAGGAAUAAAUA